GACGAACGCUGGCGGCGUGCCUAAUACAUGCAAGUAGAACGCUGAAGGAGGAGCUUGCUUCUCUGGAUGAGUUGCGAACGGGUGAGUAACGCGUAGGUAACCUGCCUGGUAGCGGGGGAUAACUAUUGGAAACGAUAGCUAAUACCGCAUAAGAGUAGAUGUUGCAUGACAUUUGCUUAAAAGGUGCAAUUGCAUUACUACCAGAUGGACCUGCGUUGUAUUAGCUAGUUGGUGGGGUAACGGCUCACCAAGGCGACGAUACAUAGCCGACCUGAGAGGGUGAUCGGCCACACUGGGACUGAGACACGGCCCAGACUCCUACGGGAGGCAGCAGUAGGGAAUCUUCGGCAAUGGACGGAAGUCUGACCGAGCAACGCCGCGUGAGUGAAGAAGGUUUUCGGAUCGUAAAGCUCUGUUGUAAGAGAAGAACGAGUGUGAGAGUGGAAAGUUCACACUGUGACGGUAGCUUACCAGAAAGGGACGGCUAACUACGUG
RNAcentral lists this ribosomal RNA (495 nucleotides) under uncultured bacterium. RNAcentral's name for it is "partial 16S ribosomal RNA". It matches the Rfam family "Bacterial small subunit ribosomal RNA", at positions 28 to 507 of the family's 1533-position model. The record is from RNAcentral.